Molecule: long non-coding RNA, 289 nt
Organism: Pseudophryne corroboree (corroboree frog)
Lineage: Eukaryota; Metazoa; Chordata; Amphibia; Anura; Myobatrachidae
Exons: 4
Source: RefSeq, a predicted model, not a curated record
UCCUCUGCUUAUUGAAGAAGAAUUCUGAACUGCUAUGGUGCUGUAAACAAUUAUGCCAAACCACAGGCUCUGUCUCAGAUACGAAGACGACUCUUCCGCAUCUUACACACAAUGUGCUACUGUAUGGCUGAAGUGGACAUACAUAUAUUUACAGGAUGUGGACAAGGCCAUUUUGCUCGGAUUCCAUUUCAUCUGACUUCGUUUGAUACUCACAAUCAAGCUGAGGGGAGUGUGGUUCACGUCUUGGAGGUGUGUCCAAAAUUUGGAGUGUGGGGCCCGAACAUACUGU